This is a long non-coding RNA of Oncorhynchus nerka (sockeye salmon), 1405 nucleotides long. RefSeq lists it as uncharacterized. The transcript is spliced from 3 exons. NCBI's taxonomy places the organism in Eukaryota, Metazoa, Chordata, Actinopteri, Salmoniformes, Salmonidae. The record is from RefSeq and is a predicted model, not a curated record.
GGGCAUACCCCUUAAACCACGGAGAUAAGCGGUCCUUUUCAGUAACGCUGUACUACUGGACGGAGCUGGUACAACUCUAGUGGAGCACUCCAACUACGAACCCACCACCAUGGCUUUUACAGCCUUAUUUUGGAUUGCCUUAAUGUGUCUAUCCAUGACUACUCAUUUAAUUGGAGUACAGUGUGGCGCGGUUAAGGAGUUACUGUCAACGUCAUCCACUUUUCAGGAUGGACACAAGACUUUACACACAGAUAUCUUGAGACGGUGGCGACGGGAGAGCGAGGCGACACAGCGGCAACAUUGCGCACUGUUGGCAGUGCCUUGGAUGGAAACCAACGCGCUCCCGAUGGAUUUGGCACAGCAACAUCGUCUUCGGGUGCUUUCAAUGCCCCAAAGAGGUUUACGGCGUGCAGUCUAUCCAGAGCAACCGCUAUUCCGUUUUGUCAGACGGGUCUAUCGUUGCUGUCAAUUACAUUUCCAUUGCAGAGGCGUCAAGGGGAUUCAGGGUCGUAUCAGUGGAGAUACAGACAUGGAGUUCCUUCUCAGUCAGGAUGUUCUGUCAGUGACAGUAAUGAGAGCUGAGAUUCAUCUCUAUGUGUUGAAUCCUCAACACCUGAACAUUGAGCCUGUCCUUUCCUACAUGGCAAAACGCAAGCUUCCCACACGAUACAGUUUGCUGUCAAAGCAAAAUGUUCUGGAGCUUCAAGUUGAUCUGCUGUUCCUAUUCCAAGGUCUUCAGGAGGCAGCUGGUGGUGCCAUAGGGGGGCCAAGCCUAGUUGGCAUGCGGAAAGUGGGGGAGCUUUCAAGUGGGGGCCCACGAGAAAGGCCAGGAGCACCAUGGUCUCUGCAGGAUACCAAUGUUGAUCUCUGGGGGGAGGGGGUGGGCCCCCUGCUGACCAAUGUGGAGUUAGGCCUUGCCCUGAACUGUGACAGGGGGGGAGUGGAGGUAUCUUGUGAGCACAAUGGAGUCCACCUAUUACACUCUCCAUUCAUUGCUUUCUCCUACAGAUAAAGAUGACACAAACCAGGAUUGUACACACUAUCACAUUUUACCUUGUGAUGCUCCAUAACCCCAUCUCCAUGUUAUCUCGAAUGUCCUCAAGUCUAUGAAGCUGCAUUUAUUUUUCUGAGGGCAACAACUUUUAUUAAUGUUAUGUGAAGGCAGUGGAUGUGAUGUGUUCACUACCUAACAUUUUUUUUUGUUGCAAAAUCUAUAUAUUUUUAAGAUGUUAUACCCCAAGGGGUUCUUUGCACUUCAGCAAAUGCUUGUAUAUAUUAAAUUAUCUAUGUUGCUGUGUUUUGUAUAAAAUAUAUUGAUUUGUAAAGAUGCAAAUAUUGUAUAUAAUCACAUGUGUUUAUUGGAAAUGUGUUUGUUUUUCCUUUAUUGAAACUGAAUCUUAUUAAA